Molecule: long non-coding RNA, 381 nt
Organism: Bradysia coprophila
Lineage: Eukaryota; Metazoa; Arthropoda; Insecta; Diptera; Sciaridae
Source: RefSeq, a predicted model, not a curated record
UUUAUUAAUUCAGCAGUCGACUUCAAAAAUAUAAAAAUGGAAAGGUACCUACACCUUCGAGAUAAAAAAGCGUUACUGAACGUUGAUGUUUUAACGAUAAUUUGAUAACAUCAGCCACCUAAGCAACAGAUAUAAUUUUACAGAAUGAAAUUCCUUCCAAUUGUUGUUCUCGUUUUCACACUGUUGCUGAUCCAGAUUAGUGAAGCAAAUCCUGUUCCACAAGUUCGAGCACAAUUCCUUGGGCUCUGGUAUGAACCCCCAGAUUAUGGAUACAAAAUUCAAUAUGCUUAGCAAAGUUAUCGCUGGUGUGCAAGUUUUGACAGAGAAGUCGUGUGAAAAUUUUCGUCUUAUAUUUUCAAAAUAAAAAUUAAAGAGAAAUUU